This is a long non-coding RNA of Lutra lutra (Eurasian river otter), 1185 nucleotides long. RefSeq lists it as uncharacterized. The transcript is spliced from 6 exons. Lineage: Eukaryota; Metazoa; Chordata; Mammalia; Carnivora; Mustelidae. The record is from RefSeq and is a predicted model, not a curated record.
GUAAGUAGGUCUUAUCAUCCUCAUUUUAUGGAUGAUGUAGAACAAAUAGGUUACUUACAAAAAAUUAUAAAAUUACUAAGUGGUAGGAUGAAAAUUUCCAUCCAUGGAUGGAAUCAAGGUUCUUUCCAGUACUUUAUAUAGUCUUUUGUUCUUGAGAAAGGUGAGAUUCUCACUACCUAAUUGUAGCUCCAAUAAUAAGGGUAUCAUCCAUUCUAACUUCCCUCAAGAAAGCUAAAGGAUGCCUAAAAUAGCGACACCUAAUGGACAUAAGUUCAACCAACCUUCAGAAAUCUUGUCAACGCAGAGAUUCAUACAUCUACUAACUAAUCACAUUUGUUAUGUAGGUCAUGGUCUUUAUAUCUUCCUUUGUCUAACUAGAGACACCAGCAAGCAAAUAGAUAAAUUCAACACUGAAUAAAAGGAAAGAUGGUUAGAAAAGAAUACUGAAUACAUAACAAAAGGAAAGAGGUUGAGAAUGGCCUGCAAAGAUCAAGAUCAAGAUCAAGCAUAGCAGGGACAUCCUUUUGUAAUGACCAUGAUUUUGCAGCUCCUCUCAACAAGAAGGAAAAAAGCCAUCCAUGCUCCGGUCCAGAAGAACAUUUCUUAUUCUCUAUGUCUGAGCCCCAACCAUUACUAUGUUCUAGUACUUUGAGACAGGAGACUCUGAUCUAUUUAUAAAGACUCAUUAACCUCUACUUGUCCAAAGGCCAGCUCUGAGAUGUUGCAAACUAUCAGCCUGGAUUCCCAAGGAAUUUUUGUCUUAUCCUGCAGGUGAGAUCUCCAGGCCAGGGAGUUGAUCAGUGAGCACUGAAUGAGCAUCUAUUAUUUUCUGGGUAUAUAUAUAUAUCUCAUCAAGUGCAUCUUUUGAGGAGUAUCUACCAUUUGUGCAAUGUUGGCAAAUUUCAUGUCUACCACAAGAAAGCCAUUGGACUGAGGUAAAUUUCAUGCUGAUCAAGUCAACCCAAACCCAUGCCUUAAGGUUAAAAAUGGAAACCUAAGGAUAACCAGUCACAAACCACCAAGUAGACGUUCUUAAAUAAUAUAGCCACUUCAGCAAGAGGCCAUCAAAUGAUUUCCUUGAUUUGCUUCUUUAUUAAAUCUUUCCCCUAGUUCCUCUCAGUGGGACACUGCAAACCACUUCCGGUUUGGCUAUGCCUAAUUCGGAUGAAUUUUUGCUCAAAUAAA